Molecule: long non-coding RNA, 842 nt
Organism: Xenia sp. Carnegie-2017
Lineage: Eukaryota; Metazoa; Cnidaria; Anthozoa; Malacalcyonacea; Xeniidae
Exons: 3
Source: RefSeq, a predicted model, not a curated record
GGUAAUUCUGCAACCAAGCUGUAUAUAAUUUCCUAUCUUUCACUCAGAUAUUAAAGAGCUUCAUUUUUUUAUAAUUCUUCAGCCGUCCUUCCUGGAGGAACUGUUCAGAGUACGUCAUAAAGUGAUCGAUUUGUUGAAGAACAUCUCCGAUAUAACUCAGUAUUCAAGGAAAAACUUCCUGAGGAUCAAUAUAUUUUUUCAAAAGCUACAAGAACAAGAGAUGUUGCAACGUCACUCGUAUGGGAUAGUACGUUUGUUAUCAGACAUAGGUGGUCAGUUGGGUCUAUGGGUUGGAGUUUCAGUUUUAACACUGGUAGACGGCAGUGAAAGCUUUUCAAAGUUCAUAAAAGCUUUUUAUCGAAGGAUAAAGAUGAAAUUUGCUAAAAAUCGCGUUACUGAUUUUAUUGAAUCGAAAUGAGAAUAAACAGUUCAAACGACACGAAACGUAAAUAAAAUAGAAGAGGACGGUGUGUUUUUCUUUUACAAUGAAUAAAUUGUCCAACUUUUGAUUGACUUGGCAAUAUAACAAUACAAACUUUACCGGAUAGGACAAAGUCCGGAAAAAUAACUUUUGAAAUCAUUAAAAAAAAUAUACAACCGUUUUGAUUUUUAUUGUCACGACAGGAUGUAAAAGAACUGAAAUAGUAAAAUAAGGUAGAAAGAGUAAAAGCGGAAUUUCGGAUAGAUUUUCUCUAAAAAGACGACGUUUACAAACAUAAUUACCGCAAUCCUGCCUGUUGUGUUUGUCGGUAAAAUGAUAAUGAUCAUUGCAUAUUGCAAGGGAUAGUUUUAAUCGUUAUAAGCAAGUAGCCGAAAUGAGUAAAUAAUUUUUCAAUUUUUCA